UUCGGGAGCUUGCACAGGUGCUGCAUGGCUAUCGUCAGCUCGUGUCGUGAGAUGUUCGGUUAAGUCCGCUAACGAGCGCAACCCUCGCUGUGUGUUAUAUGUGUCACACGGGACUGCCGGUCUUAAGCCGGAGGAAGGUGGGGAUGAUGUCAAGUCAGCAUGGCCUUUAUAUCCUGGGCUACACACACGCUACAAUGGCCAACACAAUAGGUUGCUAAGCCGCGAGGUGGCGCCAAUCCAUAAAGUUGGUCUCAGUUCAGAUUGUAGGCUGCAACCCGCCUGCAUGAAGAUGGAGUUGCUAGUAACCGCAGGUCAGCUAUACUGCGGUGAAUACGUUCCCGGGGCUU
RNAcentral lists this ribosomal RNA (347 nucleotides) under uncultured Leptolinea sp. RNAcentral describes it as "bacterial SSU rRNA". It matches the Rfam family "Bacterial small subunit ribosomal RNA", at positions 1021 to 1382 of the family's 1533-position model. The record is from RNAcentral. Lineage: Bacteria; Bacillati; Chloroflexota; Anaerolineae; Anaerolineales; Anaerolineaceae.